GGUUAAGUUAGAAAGGGCGCACGGUGGAUGCCUUGACACUAGGAGUCGAUGAAGGACGGGACUAACGCCGAUAUGCUUCGGGGAGCUGUAAGUAAGCUUUGAUCCGAAGAUUUCCGAAUGGGGAAACCCACCAUACGUAAUGGUAUGGUAUCCUUAUCUGAAUACAUAGGGUAAGGAAGACAGACCCAGGGAACUGAAACAUCUAAGUACCUGGAGGAAGAGAAAGCAAAUGCGAUUUCCUGAGUAGCGGCGAGCGAAACGGAACAUAGCCCAAACCAAGAGGCUUGCCUCUUGGGGUUGUAGGACAUUCUAUACGGAGUUACAAAGGAACGAGGUAGACGAAGCGACCUGGAAAGGUCCGUCGUAGAGGGUAACAACCCCGUAGUCGAAACUUCGUUCUCUCUUGAAUGUAUCCUGAGUACGGCGGAACACGUGAAAUUCCGUCGGAAUCUGGGAGGACCAUCUCCCAAGGCUAAAUACUCCCUAGUGAUCGAUAGUGAACCAGUACCGUGAGGGAAAGGUGAAAAGCACCCCGGAAGGGGAGUGAAAGAGAUCCUGAAACCGUGUGCCUACAAAUAGUCAGAGCCCGUUAACGGGUGAUGGCGUGCCUUUUGUAGAAUGAACCGGCGAGUUACGAUCCCGUGCGAGGUUAAGCUGAAGAGGCGGAGCCGCAGCGAAAGCGAGUCUGAAUAGGGCGUUUAGUACGUGGUCGUAGACCCGAAACCAGGUGAUCUACCCAUGUCCAGGGUGAAGUUCAGGUAACACUGAAUGGAGGCCCGAACCCACGCACGUUGAAAAGUGCGGGGAUGAGGUGUGGGUAGCGGAGAAAUUCCAAUCGAACCUGGAGAUAGCUGGUUCUCCCCGAAAUAGCUUUAGGGCUAGCCUUAAGUGUAAGAGUCUUGGAGGUAGAGCACUGAUUGGACUAGGGGUCCUCAUCGGAUUACCGAAUUCAGUCAAACUCCGAAUGCCAAUGACUUAUCCUUAGGAGUCAGACUGCGAGUGAUAAGAUCCGUAGUCAAAGGGAAACAGCCCAGACCGCCAGCUAAGGUCCCAAAGUGUGUAUUAAGUGGAAAAGGAUGUGGAGUUGCUUAGACAACUAGGAUGUUGGCUUAGAAGCAGCCACCAUUUAAAGAGUGCGUAAUAGCUCACUAGUCGAGUGACUCUGCGCCGAAAAUGUACCGGGGCUAAAUACACCACCGAAGCUGCGGAUUGAUACCAAUGGUAUCAGUGGUAGGGGAGCGUUCUAAGGACAGUGAAGUCAGACCGGAAGGACUGGUGGAGUGCUUAGAAGUGAGAAUGCCGGUAUGAGUAGCGAAAGACGGGUGAGAAUCCCGUCCACCGAAUGCCUAAGGUUUCCUGAGGAAGGCUCGUCCGCUCAGGGUUAGUCAGGACCUAAGCCGAGGCCGACAGGCGUAGGCGAUGGACAACAGGUUGAUAUUCCUGUACCACCUCUUUAUCGUUUGAGCAAUGGAGGGACGCAGAAGGAUAGAAGAAGCGUGCGAUUGGUUGUGCACGUCCAAGCAGUUAGGCUGAUAAGUAGGCAAAUCCGCUUAUCGUGAAGGCUGAGCUGUGAUGGGGAAGCUCCUUAUGGAGCGAAGUCUUUGAUUCCCCGCUGCCAAGAAAAGCUUCUAGCGAGAUAAAAGGUGCCUGUACCGCAAACCGACACAGGUAGGCGAGGAGAGAAUCCUAAGGUGUGCGAGAGAACUCUGGUUAAGGAACUCGGCAAAAUGACCCCGUAACUUCGGGAGAAGGGUGCUUUCUUAACGGAAAGCCGCAGUGAAUAGGCCCAAGCGACUGUUUAGCAAAAACACAGCUCUCUGCGAAGCCGUAAGGCGAAGUAUAGGGGUGACACCUGCCCGGUGCUGGAAGGUUAAGGAGAGGGGUUAGCGUAAGCGAAGCUCUGAACUGAAGCCCCAGUAAACGGCGGCCGUAACUAUAACGGUCCUAAGGUAGCGAAAUUCCUUGUCGGGUAAGUUCCGACCCGCACGAAAGGUGUAACGAUUUGGGCACUGUCUCAACCAGAGACUCGGUGAAAUUAUAGUACCUGUGAAGAUGCAGGUUACCCGCGACAGGACGGAAAGACCCCGUGGAGCUUUACUGUAGCCUGAUAUUGAAUUUUGGUACAGUUUGUACAGGAUAGGCGGGAGCCUUUGAAACCGGAGCGCUAGCUUCGGUGGAGGCGCUGGUGGGAUACCGCCCUGACUGUAUUGAAAUUCUAACCUACGGGUCUUAUCGACCCGGGAGACAGUGUCAGGUGGGCAGUUUGACUGGGGCGGUCGCCUCCUAAAGUGUAACGGAGGCGCCCAAAGGUUCCCUCAGAAUGGUUGGAAAUCAUUCGUAGAGUGCAAAGGCAUAAGGGAGCUUGACUGCGAGACCUACAAGUCGAGCAGGGACGAAAGUCGGGCUUAGUGAUCCGGUGGUUCCGCAUGGAAGGGCCAUCGCUCAACGGAUAAAAGCUACCCCGGGGAUAACAGGCUUAUCUCCCCAAGAGUCCACAUCGACGGGGAGGUUUGGCACCUCGAUGUCGGCUCAUCGCAUCCUGGGGCUGUAGUCGGUCCCAAGGGUUGGGCUGUUCGCCCAUUAAAGCGGUACGCGAGCUGGGUUCAGAACGUCGUGAGACAGUUCGGUCCCUAUCCGUCGUGGGCGUAGGAAAUUUGAGAGGAGCUGUCCUUAGUACGAGAGGACCGGGAUGGACGCACCGCUGGUGUACCAGUUGUUCUGCCAAGGGCAUAGCUGGGUAGCUAUGUGCGGAAGGGAUAAGUGCUGAAAGCAUCUAAGCAUGAAGCCCCCCUCAAGAUGAGAUUUCCCAUAGCGUAAGCUAGUAAGAUCCCUGAAAGAUGAUCAGGUUGAUAGGUUCGAGGUGGAAGCAUGGUGACAUGUGGAGCUGACGAAUACUAAUAGAUCGAGGACUUAACCAU
This 2918-nucleotide ribosomal RNA is filed under the name Bacillus pacificus. Its description in RNAcentral is "23S ribosomal RNA". It matches the Rfam family "Bacterial large subunit ribosomal RNA". Lineage: Bacteria; Bacillati; Bacillota; Bacilli; Caryophanales; Bacillaceae. The record is from RNAcentral.